Molecule: ribosomal RNA, 313 nt
Filed under: uncultured soil bacterium
Lineage: Bacteria
Description: bacterial SSU rRNA
Rfam family: Bacterial small subunit ribosomal RNA
Source: RNAcentral
AGAACGAACGCUGGCGGCAUGCCUAAUACAUGCAAGUCGAACGAAGGCUUCGGCCUUAGUGGCGCACGGGUGCGUAACGCGUGGGAAUCUGCCCUUGGGUUCGGAAUAACAGUUGGAAACGACUGCUAAUACCGGAUGAUAUCGAAAGAUCAAAGAUUUAUCGCCCAGGGAUGAGCCCGCGUAGGAUUAGCUAGUUGGUGAGGUAAAGGCUCACCAAGGCGACGAUCCUUAGCUGGUCUGAGAGGAUGAUCAGCCACACUGGGACUGAGACACGGCCCAGACUCCUACGGGAGGCAGCAGUGGGAAUAUUGAC